This 327-nucleotide RNase P RNA is filed under the name Reyranella sp. RNAcentral's name for it is "partial RNase P RNA component class A". It matches the Rfam family "Bacterial RNase P class A", at positions 71 to 367 of the family's 367-position model. Rfam says of the family: Ribonuclease P (RNase P) is a ubiquitous endoribonuclease, found in archaea, bacteria and eukarya as well as chloroplasts and mitochondria. The record is from RNAcentral. Lineage: Bacteria; Pseudomonadati; Pseudomonadota; Alphaproteobacteria; Hyphomicrobiales; Reyranellaceae.
GUGCCAGGUAACGCCUGGGCGGCGCGAGCCGACGGAAAGUGCAACAGAAAGAUACCGCCGAUGGCCCGCAAGGGAUCAGGCAAGGGUGAAAUGGUGCGGUAAGAGCGCACCGCGAGUCCGGCAACGGACCGGCACGGCAAACCCCACCGGGAGCAAGACCAAAUAGGGGCGACACGCCGGGUAACCGGCAGCGGUGUUUCCGCGUCGUCGCCCGGGUCGGUCGCGCGAGUCGCCCGGUAACGGGCGUCCCAGAGGAAUGGCCAUCCAUCGCUCGAGAGUUUCGGCUCUUGGCGGGGACAGAACCCGGCUUACAGGCCGUCUGACCCU